CCUACGUGAGGUUGCAGUGGGGAAUAUUGGACAAUGGGCGAAAGCCUGAUCCAGCCAUGCCGCGUGUGUGAAGAAGGCCUUCGGGUUGUAAAGCACUUUCAGUGGGGAAGAAAGCCUUGGGGCUAAUACCCUCGAGGAAGGACAUCACCCACAGAAGAAGCACCGGCUAACUCCGUGCCAGCAGCCGCGGUAAUACGGAGGGUGCGAGCGUUAAUCGGAAUUACUGGGCGUAAAGCGCGCGUAGGCGGUCUGAUAAGCCGGUUGUGAAAGCCCCGGGCUCAACCUGGGAACGGCAUCCGGAACUGUCAGGCUAGAGUGCAGGAGAGGAAGGUAGAAUUCCCGGUGUAGCGGUGAAAUGCGUAGAGAUCGGGAGGAAUACCAGUGGCGAAGGCGGCCUUCUGGACUGACACUGACGCUGAGGUGCGAAAGCGUGGGUAGCAAACAGGAUUAGAUACCCGUGUAGUC
Molecule: ribosomal RNA, 465 nt
Filed under: Vreelandella stevensii
Lineage: Bacteria; Pseudomonadati; Pseudomonadota; Gammaproteobacteria; Oceanospirillales; Halomonadaceae
Description: partial 16S ribosomal RNA
Rfam family: Bacterial small subunit ribosomal RNA
Source: RNAcentral